RNAcentral lists this ribosomal RNA (253 nucleotides) under uncultured bacterium. RNAcentral describes it as "partial 16S ribosomal RNA". It matches the Rfam family "Bacterial small subunit ribosomal RNA", at positions 524 to 776 of the family's 1533-position model. The record is from RNAcentral.
UACGGAGGGUGCAAACGUUGCUCGGAAUCAUUGGGCGUAAAGCGCACGUAGGCGGCCUGUUAAGUCGGGUGUGAAAGCCCUGGGCUCAACCCAGGAACUGCAUUUGAAACUCCCUUUCUUGAGUGUCGGAGAGGAAAGCGGAAUUCCUGGUGUAGAGGUGAAAUGCGUAGAUAUCGGGAGGAACACCAGUGGCGAAGGCGGCUGUCUGGGCCAGUUCUGACGCUGAGGCGCGAAAGCGUGGGGAGCAAACAGG